RNAcentral lists this ribosomal RNA (667 nucleotides) under uncultured fungus. Its description in RNAcentral is "eukaryotic LSU rRNA". It matches the Rfam family "Eukaryotic large subunit ribosomal RNA", at positions 24 to 664 of the family's 3401-position model. Lineage: Eukaryota; Fungi. The record is from RNAcentral.
CCCGCUGAACUUAAGCAUAUCAAUAAGCGGAGGAAAAGAAACUAACAAGGAUUCCCCUAGUAACGGCGAGUGAAGCGGGAAGAGCUCAAAUUUAAAAUCUGGCGCUUUCACCGUCCGAGUUGUAAUCUGGAGAAGAGGCUUCCGUGGCGGAUCCUGUACAAGUCUCUUGGAACAGAGCGUCAUAGAGGGUGAGAAUCCCGUCUUUGACACUCACAGAGGGUGAUAUGUGAUGCACUCUCGAAGAGCCGAGUCGCAUGGGAAUCCAGCUCGAAAUGGGUAGUAAAUUCCAUCUACAGCUCAAUAUGGGCGAGAGACCUCAUAGCGAACAAGUACCGUGAGGAAAAGAUGAUAAGCCCUAAGUAGAGAGAGUUAAACAGUACGAGAAAUUGUGAAAAAGAAAUCGACAGAACUCAGUAGCGUCUUAAGAGAUUCACCCUCGCUUAUGCUCGCGUGUACUUCUCUGUUGCCGGGUCAUCUUCAGUUCUUCUCGGUGCACACAGGCCGGAGAAAUGUGGCAUCGUUCGAGAUGUGCUAUAGUCUCUCACGCUUGCUACUACACGCGAGUGGGAUUGAGCACCUCACGCACGCCUCUCUGCCCGGGGCUAGCCCCCGUCCUGUGCUUAGGAUGCUGGCAUAAUGGCUGUAAGCGACCCGUCUUGAAACACGG